This 513-nucleotide ribosomal RNA is filed under the name uncultured Glomus. Its description in RNAcentral is "partial 18S ribosomal RNA". Lineage: Eukaryota; Fungi; Glomeromycota; Glomeromycetes; Glomerales; Glomeraceae. The record is from RNAcentral.
CGUAAGGCGCCGAAUGAGUCAUUAAAAAUAACAUCAUCCGAUCCCUAGUCGGCAUAGUUUAUGGUUAAGACUACGACGGUAUCUGAUCGUCUUCGAUCCCCCUAACUUUCGUUCUUGAUUAAUGAAAACAUCCUUGGCAAAUGCUUUCGCAGUAGUUAGUCUUCAAUAAAUCCAAGAAUUUCACCUCUGACAAUUGAAUACUAAUGCCCCCAACUAUCCCUAUUAAUCAUUACGUCGAUCCUAGAAACCAACAAAAUAGGAUCAAACGUCCUAUUUCAUUAUUCCAUGCUAAUGUAUUCAAGCGCGAGCCUGCUUUAAACACUCUAAUUUUUCAAAGUAACAGUCCUGAUUCCCGCCACACCAAAUUAAUGGCAUGACAGUUCUUCAGAAGGGAGGAACCAGUGACACCAGUGCAUACCUAAGGCACGACCAGCGUACUGAUCCCGAAAUUCAACUACGAGCUUUUAACUGCAACAACUUUAAUAUACGCUAUUGGAGCUGGAAUUACCGCGG